RNAcentral lists this ribosomal RNA (632 nucleotides) under Basidiomycota sp. UFMGCB 2239. RNAcentral describes it as "eukaryotic LSU rRNA". The stretch from base 218 to 371 matches the Rfam family "5.8S ribosomal RNA". The record is from RNAcentral. Lineage: Eukaryota; Fungi; Basidiomycota.
ACUAUUACGAGGUUUGAAAGGGGUCCGUAGCUGGUCUCUUCACGGGAGGCAUGUGCACGCCCUGCUCAUCCACUCUCAACCUCUGUGCACUUACAUGUAGGUCGGUGAAAGGCGAGCAUUUCAUUUCGGUGAAGUGUACGCUGGAAGCCUUCCUAUGUAUUCACUACAAACGCUUCAGUUAUAGAAUGUACAUUUUGCGUAUAACGCAUUUAUAUACAACUUUCAGCAACGGAUCUCUUGGCUCUCGCAUCGAUGAAGAACGCAGCGAAAUGCGAUAAGUAAUGUGAAUUGCAGAAUUCAGUGAAUCAUCGAAUCUUUGAACGCACCUUGCGCUCCCUGGUAUUCCGGGGAGCACGCCCGUUUGAGUGUCAUGGUAUUCUCAACCUUCCUAACUUUUAAUGUAAUCGAAGGCUUGGACUUGGAGAGUCGUGCUGGCUCUCGUAGUACGGCUCCUACUGAAAUGCAUUAGCGUGAACGUUUACGGAUCGCUAUCAGGUGUGAUAAUUAUCUGCGCUGUUAGUGUUCGAAGUAUGUAAUCAGGUAGUCGCGCUUCUAGCCGUCUCUUGACUGAGCACAACUUUCAUUGACAUCUGGCCUCAAAUCGGGCGGGACUACCCGCUGAACUUUAGGCA